Melitaea cinxia (Glanville fritillary) is the source of this 875-nucleotide long non-coding RNA. RefSeq lists it as uncharacterized. The record is from RefSeq and is a predicted model, not a curated record. Lineage: Eukaryota; Metazoa; Arthropoda; Insecta; Lepidoptera; Nymphalidae. The transcript is spliced from 2 exons.
GUACGUGCUUUUAUUUCGCCGAAAACCAAACUGGGACGAAGAAAGAAGAGAGUUACUUUCUACGAACCACUCAAGGCGAUUUUUAACUAAAUGUUCAAUUAUUUUUAAAAGGACUGAUGAAAGAGCUAUGGGGCGAUAUGAGGAUGGGAGGAGAGGAUCCUUGUUUGUUUUUAAUAUAGGGAUAAUAAGUUGACAUUUCCAUUCUAAUGGGAUAUUGCCAGACUGAAAAAUAGUGUUUAUUAUUUUUAGGUAUAUUGUCAAACUAUUGUCAUUAAGAUGGGAAAUAAAUGAGUAAUAUAUACCAUCAGGUCCAGGGGCAGAGUCUGAGACAUAAGAUAAUACAUUUUUUAAUUCCGUUUUGCUAAAGGAAGAAUUUAAUCCUGGAGAUUCGUCAUGUUCGUCUGCUAUGCUAUUUUUGUCUAAUAGGUUAAUAUUUAUGUUAACUGUUGGAGGAGCAAGUUUAUCUAGAAAAUCAUUUGCUAUACUGCUGGGGAGUGAUACAGAAUGGGUUGUAUUAUAUGCUGACUUGAAUCUUCUUAUCUUUUUCCAUACAUCUGAUGGAGGAGUAUGAGGAGAUAAGGAGGAGCAGAAAUUUCUCCAACCAUCACAUUUUUUUCUUUUGAAAACCUGUUUUCUUUUUUUUAUAGCUUCCGUACAAUCUUUAUCCCACCAAGGUGGACUAGGAAUAUGAGAAGGUUCAUUUUUCACUGGGAAGAUUUCAUUAGCACUUUCAAUCAAGACAUCCGUGAAAACAGGAGCAUCAAUAAGUGCAUCAUUAGACAAUAAUUGUAGCAAUUUUGUAUCUACUUUAUUACUAAAUUGCUCCCAUGUUUCUGAUGUAACAUUAUUAAGAUUAUAUCUAGGGAGCAGUUUUA